This 837-nucleotide ribosomal RNA is filed under the name Priestia megaterium. Its description in RNAcentral is "bacterial SSU rRNA". It matches the Rfam family "Bacterial small subunit ribosomal RNA", at positions 28 to 845 of the family's 1533-position model. Lineage: Bacteria; Bacillati; Bacillota; Bacilli; Caryophanales; Bacillaceae. The record is from RNAcentral.
GAUGAACGCUGGAGGCCGUAUUUAAUACAUGCAAGUCGAGCGAACUGAUUAGAAGCUUGCUUCCAUGACGUUAGCGGCGGACGGGUGAGUAACACGUGGGCAACCUGCCUGUAAGACUGGGAUAACUUCGGGAAACCGAGGCUAAUACCGGAUAGGAUCUUCUCCUUCAUGGGAGAUGAUUGAAAGAUGGUUUCGGCUAUCACUUACAGAUGGGCCCGCGGUGCAUUAGCUAGUUGGUGAGGUAACGGCUCACCAAGGCAACGAUGCAUAGCCGACCUGAGAGGGUGAUCGGCCACACUGGGACUGAGACACGGCCCAGACUCCUACGGGAGGCAGCAGUAGGGAAUCUUCCGCAAUGGACGAAAGUCUGACGGAGCAACGCCGCGUGAGUGAUGAAGGCUUUCGGGUCGUAAAACUCUGUUGUUAGGGAAGAACAAGUAUGAGAGUAACUGCUUGUACCUUGACGGUACCUAACCAGAAAGCCACGGCUAACUACGUGCCAGCAGCCGCGGUAAUACGUAGGUGGCAAGCGUUAUCCGGAAUUAUUGGGCGUAAAGCGCGCGCAGGCGGUUUCUUAAGUCUGAUGUGAAAGCCCACGGCUCAACCGUGGAGGGUCAUUGGAAACUGGGGAACUUGAGUGCAGAAGAGAAAAGCGGAAUUCCACGUGUAGCGGUGAAAUGCGUAGAGAUGUGGAGGAACACCAGUGGCGAAGGCGGCUUUUUGGUCUGUAACUGACGCUGAGGCGCGAAAGCGUGGGGAGCAACCAGGAUUAGAUACCCUGGUAGUCCACGCCGUAAACGAUAGUGCUAACUGUUAAAGGGUUUCCGCCCUUUAGUG